Long non-coding RNA from Coregonus clupeaformis (lake whitefish), 275 nucleotides. RefSeq lists it as uncharacterized. The record is from RefSeq and is a predicted model, not a curated record. NCBI's taxonomy places the organism in Eukaryota, Metazoa, Chordata, Actinopteri, Salmoniformes, Salmonidae. The transcript is spliced from 3 exons.
CCUACCCUGGGGUCAACGAUGCCCUGCUCAGCCAUGUCUACACAGAACCAGGUGUGAAGUCUCCCUCUCCUUCUCCGACCCUGGAGGCCUCGGUCCAGAACGUGGAGCUGAAAUUCUGCAGCAGAGCCACGGUGAACUGCGCCGGGGGAACCGUGGGAGCUGUUAAAGUGUGUGCCAGGACCCCAGGUUCACCAGAGGGAAUAAAAGAGAAGCUGGUUCCUCUGCUGCAGGGUCCAUCUGACACCAAGGAGCUCCAACAGAGUCGCUGGCUCAAU